CCCCAAUUUGGACCAACUUGAAAACUGGGCCCAUAAUCAAAAAUCUAAAUACAUGUUUAGAUUCAGCAUAUCAAAGAACCCCAUAUAUUCAAUUUUUGUUGAAAUCAAACAAAUUUAAUUUUGGACCCCAACUUGGACCAACUUGAAAACUGGGCCCAUAAUCAAAAAUCUAAACACAUGUUUAGAUUCAGCAUAUCAAAGAACCCCAAGAAUUCAAUUUUUGUUAAAAUCAAACUAAGUUUAAUUUUGGACCCUUUUGACCACAAUGUGGACAAAGUUGAUAACGGGGCCCAAAAAUCAAAAAUCUAAAUACAUGGUUAGAUUCAGCAUAUCAAAGAACCCCAUAUAUUCAAUUUUUGUUGAAAUCUAACAAAGUUUAAUUUUGGACCCUUUUGACCUCAAUAUGAACCAAUUUGAUAGCGGGGUCCACAAAUAGAAAAUCUAAAUACAUGGUUAGAUUCAGCAUAUCAAAGAACCCCAUAUAUUCAAUUUUUGCUGAAAUCAAACAAAAAAAGUUUAAUUUUGGACCCCAAUUUGGACCAACUUGAAAACUGGGCCAAAAAUCAAAAUACAUGUUUAGAUUCAGCAUAUCAAAGAACCCCAUAUAUUCAAUUUUUGUUAAAAUCAAACAAAGUUUAAUUUUGGACCCUUUGGACCUUAAUGUAGACCAAUUUGAAAACUGGACCCAAAAUUAAAAAUCUAAAUACACAGUUAGAUUCGGCAUAACAAAUAAAUAAAUGUGGUCAAAGAUUUUACAAA
Molecule: long non-coding RNA, 759 nt
Organism: Mytilus californianus (California mussel)
Lineage: Eukaryota; Metazoa; Mollusca; Bivalvia; Mytilida; Mytilidae
Exons: 2
Source: RefSeq, a predicted model, not a curated record